RNAcentral lists this ribosomal RNA (253 nucleotides) under uncultured bacterium. RNAcentral describes it as "partial 16S ribosomal RNA". It matches the Rfam family "Bacterial small subunit ribosomal RNA", at positions 524 to 776 of the family's 1533-position model. The record is from RNAcentral.
UACGGAGGGUGCGAGCGUUAAUCGGAAUUACUGGGCGUAAAGCGUGCGUAGACGGUUAUUUAAGUCGGGUGUGAAAGCCCCGGGCUCAACCUGGGAAUUGCAUUCGAGACUGAAUAGCUAGGGUACGGUAGAGGGAAGUGGAAUUUCCGGUGUAGCGGUGAAAUGCGUAGAUAUCGGGAGGAACACCAGUGGCGAAGGCGACUUCCUGGCCUGUUCUUGACGCUGAGGCGCGAAAGCUAGGGGAGCAAACGGG